GAUGAACGCUGACAGAAUGCUUAACACAUGCAAGUCGAUGGGGAAGUGGUGCUUGCACCAUGGCAACCAUGGCGGACGGGUGAGUAACGCGUAAGGGACUUACCUGCAGGACUGGGAUAACAGGGGGAAACUCCUGACAAGACCGGAUAAUGUCAUGGAGCUGCAUGGCUUUAUGAUGAAAGGAGACGCCUGCGGAGAGCCUUGCGUCCUAUUAGCUAGUUGGUGAGGUAAUGGCUCACCAAGGCGAAGAUAGGUAGCCGGCCUGAGAGGGUGGACGGCCACAAGGGGACUGAGAUACGGCCCUUACUCCUACGGGAGGCAGCAGUGGGGAAUAUUGGACAAUGGGGGCAACCCUGAUCCAGCAAUUCUGUGUGCACGAAGAAGGUUUUCGGAUUGUAGAGUGCUUUCAGCAGGGAAGAAGUAAGUGACGGUACCUGCAGAAGAAGCGACGGCUAAAUACGUG
This 463-nucleotide ribosomal RNA is filed under the name uncultured bacterium. RNAcentral describes it as "partial 16S ribosomal RNA". It matches the Rfam family "Bacterial small subunit ribosomal RNA", at positions 28 to 507 of the family's 1533-position model. The record is from RNAcentral.